RNAcentral lists this ribosomal RNA (650 nucleotides) under uncultured Actinomycetes bacterium. RNAcentral describes it as "bacterial SSU rRNA". It matches the Rfam family "Bacterial small subunit ribosomal RNA", at positions 232 to 879 of the family's 1533-position model. Lineage: Bacteria; Bacillati; Actinomycetota; Actinomycetes. The record is from RNAcentral.
CGCGGCCUAUCAGCUUGUUGGUGAGGUAACGGCUCACCAAGGCAACGAUGGGUAGCCGGUCUGAGAGGAUGUUCGGCCACAUUGGGACUGAGACACUGCCCAGACGCUUACGGGCGGCUGCAGUCGAGAAUAUUUGGCAAUGGGGGCAACCCUGACCAUGCGACGCCGCGUGGAGGAUGAAGGCUUUCGAGUUGUAAACUCCUGUGGCAGGGGAAGAAACCUGGGACUUCGGUUUCAGCUGACGGUACCCUGCUAGAAAGCGCCAGCUAACUACGUGCCAGCAGCUGCGGUAAGACGUAGGGCGCAAGCGUUGCUCGGAUUUACUGGGCGUAAAGGGCGUCUAGGCGGCCCUUCAAGUCGCGCGUGAAAUUUCUACGGCUUAACCGAGAAACGGCGCGCGAUACUGUUGGGCUUGAAUGCGGUAGAGGAAAGUGGAAUUCAAGGUGGAGCGGUGGAAUGCUCAGAGAUCUUGGAGAACACCAAUGGCGAAGGCAGCUUUCUGGGCCAGCAUUGACGCUGAAGCGCGAAAGAUUGGGUAGCAAACAGGAUUAGAUACCCUGGUAGUCCUUUCUGUAAACGAUGGGUGUUAAGUGUGGGGAACAUCGGAUUCCCUGUGCUGCCGCUAACGCAUUAAACACCCCGCCUGGGGA